CCCUUAGAUGUUCUGGGCCGCACGCGCGCUACAAUGAUGAAUUCAACGAGUUUAUAACCUUGGUUGAAAAGCCUGGGUAAUCUUUUGAACUUUCGUCGUGAUGGGGCUAGACCCUUGCAAUUAUUGGUCUCCAACGAGGAAUUCCUAGUAAACGCAAGUCAUCAGCUUGCAUUGAUUACGUCCCUGCCCUUUGUACACACCGCCCGUCGCACCUACCGAUUUUGAGUGGUCCGGUGAACCUUCUGGAUUGUGCGGCUUGCCGCGCGAGAAGUUAUGUAAACCUUAUCACUUAGAGGAAGGAGAAGUCGUAACA
This 313-nucleotide ribosomal RNA is filed under the name uncultured eukaryote. RNAcentral's name for it is "partial 18S ribosomal RNA". It matches the Rfam family "Eukaryotic small subunit ribosomal RNA", at positions 1470 to 1796 of the family's 1831-position model. The record is from RNAcentral.